CCUACGGGUGGCAGCAGUGAGGAAUAUUGGUCAAUGGGCGCAAGCCUGAACCAGCCAAGUCGCGUGAGGGAAGACGGCCCUACGGGUUGUAAACCUCUUUUGCCGGGGAGCAAGCCUGAGCACGUGUGCCCAGGCGGAGAGUACCCGGAGAAAAAGCAUCGGCUAACUCCGUGCCAGCAGCCGCGGUAAUACGGAGGAUGCGAGCGUUAUCCGGAUUUAUUGGGUUUAAAGGGUGCGUAGGCGGAAGGUUAAGUCAGCGGUCAAAUGUCGGUGCUCAACACCGGCCUGCCGUUGAAACUGGUCUUCUUGAGUGAGCGAGAAGUAUGCGGAAUGCGUGGUGUAGCGGUGAAAUGCAUAGAUAUCACGCAGAACUCCGAUUGCGAAGGCAGCAUACCGGCGCUCAACUGACGCUGAGGCACGAAAGCGUGGGGAUCGAACAGGAUUAGAUACCCUGGUAGUC
This 460-nucleotide ribosomal RNA is filed under the name uncultured bacterium. Its description in RNAcentral is "partial 16S ribosomal RNA". It matches the Rfam family "Bacterial small subunit ribosomal RNA", at positions 338 to 795 of the family's 1533-position model. The record is from RNAcentral.